RNAcentral lists this ribosomal RNA (398 nucleotides) under uncultured bacterium. RNAcentral's name for it is "partial 16S ribosomal RNA". It matches the Rfam family "Bacterial small subunit ribosomal RNA", at positions 523 to 918 of the family's 1533-position model. The record is from RNAcentral.
AUACGUAGGGUGCGAGCGUUGUCCGGAAUUACUGGGCGUAAAGAGCUCGUAGGUGGUUUGUCGCGUCGUCUGUGAAAUUCCGGGGCUUAACUCCGGGCGUGCAGGCGAUACGGGCAUAACUUGAGUACUGUAGGGGAGACUGGAAUUCCUGGUGUAGCGGUGAAAUGCGCAGAUAUCAGGAGGAACACCGGUGGCGAAGGCGGGUCUCUGGGCAGUAACUGACGCUGAGGAGCGAUAGCAUGGGUAGCGAACAGGAUUAGAUACCCUGGUAGUCCAUGCCGUAAACGGUGGGCGCUAGGUGUAGGGGUCUUCCACGACUUCUGUGCCGUAGCUAACGCAUUAAGCGCCCCGCCUGGGGAGUACGGCCGCAAGGCUAAAACUCAAAGGAAUUGACGGGG